Choloepus didactylus (southern two-toed sloth) is the source of this 131-nucleotide small nucleolar RNA. RefSeq annotates it as small nucleolar RNA SNORA1. Lineage: Eukaryota; Metazoa; Chordata; Mammalia; Pilosa; Megalonychidae. The record is from RefSeq and is a predicted model, not a curated record. The transcript has a single exon.
AGCCUCAUUCCAGAUGUGAAUAAGCACAGUUGAGCAUCGUGUUCAGAAUUGCAAAUUGGCUAAAUUGAGACGCAGGUUAUGUUUCCAUCACAGUAAAUUUAUUGCCGUGGUGAGUGAGUCCUGUAACAGAU